AUUGUGACUAGCAACCUUCACUACUUGUGAAUAUAAGUUCAUAACGAUUAGGUGAAACUCCCUUAUAUUCUAGCAUCAAAUUCAUGCAUGAAAAUUAAGCGUGCACUCUCAACCAACAUACACAAAUUAGUUUUUAUACGAACGGAUAAGUAAAUUGAAUUCACAAUUCAAGAAACGCAAUUGGAAGUAAUCAAAUCAUAUAGCAAGCAUAAACAUGGUUUUGAAUCCCCCCCCCUAGCCAAGGGGGGUUUAGUUCCUCAUUAUUACAAAACAAAGAUAAACAAAUUUAACCAUUGAAAAAACAAAGGGAAGAAAGCACCUAAACGUUCCAACGAUCCAUGUUGGAUAGCAAGCGCGUCCAAGGACUUUUCUCCUUCUCCUUGCCGCCCCAACAAGGUUGGAAUGAUGUUGAAGGGUUGGUUAUUUGGAGGAAUGGAUGGGAAGGGGUUUAGAUAUG
This 457-nucleotide long non-coding RNA is filed under the name Malus domestica (apple). RNAcentral's name for it is "long non-coding RNA (MDOM_LNC013424)". The record is from RNAcentral. Lineage: Eukaryota; Viridiplantae; Streptophyta; Magnoliopsida; Rosales; Rosaceae.